UGCGGAAGGAUCAUUAAUGAAUUUUUAGGGCGCUCUUUUUAGAGGUCCGACCAAUUUCAUUUCCACACACCGUGAACACACUUCAUUUUUACACACAAUUUAUAAACACACAAGUCUAUAAGAAUGUAUAAAGUCUCUUAAUUGAGCAUAAAGUUAUAAUACAACUUUCGGCAACGGAUCUCUUGGCUCUCGCAUCGAUGAAGAACGCAGCGAAAUGCGAUACGUAAUGUGAAUUGCAGAAUUCAGUGAAUCAUCGAAUCUUUGAACGCACCUUGCACUCUUUGGUAUUCCGAAGAGUAUGUCUGUUUGAGUGUCAUGAAACUCUCAACCCCCUUGUUUUGUAAUGAAGCAGGCGUGGGCUUGGAUUAUGGCUGUCUGCUGGACUCUUUAACUAGAGACCGGCUCAGCUGAAAUACACGAGUAACCCAGUUUGAAUAUUAACGGUUUGACUCGGCGUAAUAGCUUUAUUUCGCUGAGGACGUUUCAUAUCAAGAUAGUGGUGCUUCUAAUGCGUCGUAGCGUCAGCUGCACACCUUUAAGCUUUAGACCUCAAAUCAGUCAGGACUACCCGCUGAACUUAAGCAUA
RNAcentral lists this ribosomal RNA (586 nucleotides) under Erythrobasidium sp. Its description in RNAcentral is "eukaryotic LSU rRNA". The stretch from base 163 to 316 matches the Rfam family "5.8S ribosomal RNA". The record is from RNAcentral. Lineage: Eukaryota; Fungi; Basidiomycota; Cystobasidiomycetes; Erythrobasidiales; Erythrobasidiaceae.